Caenorhabditis elegans is the source of this 21-nucleotide non-coding RNA. Lineage: Eukaryota; Metazoa; Nematoda; Chromadorea; Rhabditida; Rhabditidae. The record is from Ensembl.
UGGGCAUCCAAAUUUUACAAA